UAUGACAUAUCUCAUGCGAUCCUUUGGGCUUCUAAGAUUCCACGUAUAACAAAUAUAAGCAAUAGUGUUCUUAGGAGACACCAGAUGUGUUUAGAUCAGACUGAUCAAGUUUACCUUCAUUUACAGAAUCCAAAGGCUAUAUUUGCUUCAUUCCUAACACCAGAUCAAUGAGAAUAUACUCGAACAUAAACAAAUACCUGUGACAUCGAAUAUAAAUGGCAACAAGGGAUUCACGAAAGGCCCGUUUGAGCAACCAUGACUAGUGCUCAUCUCAUCAUCAUCUCUCUAUAUGGCCAAAGUUGUAGACAUGACGUGUCUGAUAAAAACUUGUCCCCUCUUACUUGAAAAGUCAACUUAUUUUGACUUGAACAAGUCGAGACGAGUAUCCCAAAGCAUUCAAAGCUGAUGCACCUCUGAUAGUUUCCCAACCCCAAUUUACCAUCCAAAUAUCUGAGCCCGUCCCAAAGGAAAUUGUAAUCGGCAUACCAACGGUCUUCCUCUUUCUCCAACAUGCAUCGCCACAAAAUCAUCAUGUGGAAGCAAUGUAAUUAUCUAUCUGGCAUCUGGGUAUUUGAACCAGGAACAAAGACUAUCAAACUAAUCAUCAAAUCAAGUCAAGAAGAUGCAUUAAAAUUUGCACAGUUGCAAAGAAUUCUUGUUCUUUUUUUUUCACUUUCAAUUUGAAACAUGAACUCAAGUACAAGUUGGCAGAGAAGAAAAAAUUCACACAAAGGAAAAGCCCCUGGUUAUAGUUCAACAUAAAAACCUGGGAAAAGAUGAUCAGAGAGCUUUAUCCUGAAAUAAAUUCCAAACUUUGUUUGGCUGCAAUUUCCAUCCAAGUAAUUGGGUUGCAAGUUUCAACUGGUAACACCUGCCAUUAAAUAAACCAAACAUGUUGGUAUUAGUCAUGAGUUAAGAGUGGUGCAAAAUAUGUUUACCACCACCAGAAUAAUAUGACGUGAAAAUGAUUGGAUAUGCAUGUUAGAUCUCAAAAUGUAUAACCACCAAAUGUAACAGAACCUCUGCAUAGAGAUUGCCCUUGUACAUUGAUCAAAACACAAGUUACAGGCAACACUUUGAACAAGUGAUAAGUUUUGCCAACUAGUUUGUACUUCAAUUAGGUGAUAUUAUCUUGGACCAAUUGCCUGCCAUAUUAGAUAGAAAAUAUGCAAAUAAAUUUCAAAGAUAUCCUGUUUGAGAAAAAGUGCAAAAAGACUUUUAAAGAAAUCAUGUUGAAUACAAUAUGUUUCAGAGUUUCAGGGUCUAAACUUGUCAAAAGCCCUUAUUAGAGUUUAUUAACAAUAUGUUUCAAAUGGUGGUGUUUGUUUCACUUUAUCUACUAUGUACCUUACCGGUUGAGUUAGGAGCAUUUGGUUAUAUAUUUCAUCAAACUAUAUUUGACUAGUGUCGCUACUGAGAUUUGGUACACCUAGAAGUUUUGAAUUUGAUGAUGUGCAUAUUUUGCUAUUGCAAGGUUUCCUUGAGCAGUUUUGGAGCAAAGAUUUUAAUUCAAUUCAUUGAUGUUUAGUUUAAAUGAAUAUGUGAGAUUUUGAUAUAGGACACAAACAUAUUACUGACCAAGAGGCAAAUGAUCUGAUAUGGCAAGUGAGAAAGUCAUGGUCCCAGCAAUAGAAUGUAUCCUAAUAAUUCUUAUGGCAAGUUAAUUUAAUAUGGGAAUAUGAUAUCUAAAGUGAAUGUAAUAAAUUUCCUACCUUUAACAUGAAUCAAAAUAAAUCUGUCUUAAUCAAUCACAUAUACCUUGAGAAAUUACAUUACAUCAUGCUAAUCCUCAACCUAUUUCAUCUAAGGGUUCUGUUAAACCAUACAUUAAUACACAAGAUCAGUAUGUUCUCAGCAUAGUAGAAUGGUAUGUAUUAUCUACUUGAAUCAAAUUUAUGCUAUGCAAAUACCGGUGUUUAUGUAUCUACUGUUAAGCCAUAUGCAUCUGUAAGCCCUAACAUUUAACAAUAUAAUUUUCUAUAAUUUCUCAGAUAGAAUAUAUGUUAGCAAAAUGAACCCCUCAAUUCCAUAAAAAACUAUUAAAUUCUUCUAACCUUUCUUCCCAUUUUUCUAUUGAGUACUAUCUUUAACUAAGCCUGGUAGAAACAUAGAUAUAGUUCUAUGGAAAGAGAAAGCUUGGAACUGAAAGAAACCAAAAUAAAACAUAAGCAUUAAAUUCCAAGUUAUCAAAGUGUACAAAAAUAUAAGAAAAAAAAACUAAAAUAGGUCAGUAGUAUCUUCAUAUAGUAGGAAAAUGUCUUACUUCUAUCGUGAACAUUUCACAGGAUGCACAUUUGGACAUACAUAAUGUACAAGACAUUUAUUUGACAAGUCCAAAUUAUGCAAACUUAAAUGCCUGAAAACAAGCAUCAAAUAUAUCUUACAUUAUAUAUGUUUAAAUGCCAGUUAGCGACUUGAGUAUAAUGUGCAUAAACAAAAAUUUGGUCCAGGUAUCAAGAGACAGUAAUGCAGAUUAGUUUCUCACAGCAGUGGUACCAAUUCCUGUUGCAGAUCAAUUUAUCUUCAAUUCUGGACCAUGAUGGCACAUGUUGAUGUCUAGCAUAUUAAUAUGUUAAACAGAGAGAUGGGCUAACUGGCAUAUGAAAUCACUGUUUUGAUAGUAUUGUGUCCUUUUCUGACAAAAGAAAGAAAUAUUUGAUAUAGAUUAAACCUUAUAUCAUUUAUUAUAGUUUGGAUGUCAUCUGGAUUCUUUGGCUAAAUGUUGCCAUGUAAAUGAACACAACCCUCGACUAUUCAGGUACUCUUUCCAGAACUAGCCAUCUAAAUGUUAAUCCUUGGUAGCAUGAGCAUAAUUGGAUGACUUGAAAAUAAAUCAUGCCACCCACCUCAUCCAUGUCAUGCAAUUCUCAAGUAUGCCAUCAAGGUAUACAUAGUUUCAUGCUCAUAUCAUAAAGAAUUACCUAGAUAUGUGUGUUCCGGUUGAUCCUUCUUCACAUGUUGACAAUUAUUGAGAAUGGCUAAAUAUGUACCAGAUGCAUCCACAGCUGGUGCAACCACAAAAACGAAGAAGGGAAGAAGAGGAAGAAGAAGAGAUACCAGAGCAGAGGAACCAGAGUACUUCUCUGUGCUGCUCAGCUGCACAGCAUUGUGAUCUCCAGGCACAGAGCAUAGCAAAAUGAGUGUGAAAAGAGAGAGGAAUCUGUAUUGUGCCCUUGCAUCCUGCAUCCAAUCCUCGAAGACUGUAGAUCUUGCAACCUACUUAAUUGAAAGAAAACCACUUCCUAAUGUUCAAAGGUUGCCUGGCUGACGUACCCGACUUGUGAUGGAACACAGCAAUGGCCUCACAGGUUAGUGAGCCCAUGUGGCAGGAAAAGUAGUCAAAACUCAAAUAAAUAGAAAUAAGAGAGAAUAUGACAAAACAUGUUUGCCAAAUUAAGAAAUAUGCACAAACAGAUGGAUUUUGAUCUUUGAAACUUUAUGUUAUAUCUCAAUUCUAUAUACUAUUUUAUAUUAUUAAUAAAUGCAUCUCUGUGUCCUUGUGCCAAGUUGGAUACUCAGAUAUGUAUCUGAAUCUUAUUCCCAUAUCCAUGUCCAGGUAAUGAUGGUGCCAUGCCCCAGAAAUGCAACCAGGGGACUAUAUUGGCACCUGACCAUCACAUCAUGAUCAGGGGUAGGCACACACUUGGUGGGUCAACAGCAAUCCCAAGGGACAUUCUGGGCCUGAUGUAUGACCCUAGGGAGUUUCUUUCUUGUCUAAUCUUGUCCUUGUUGAAAUUGCAUUGAGACAAUAACUGUGUUUUUGCACCAAUAUGGCUCGCUGCUAAUGGGAAAGGAAAUGAAAUGGAUCAUUAUGAUAAUUUAUAAUUUGGGAAGAGAACAAUUAAUCCAUAUAUCGUUAGUCAAUGAUUUAAAAAGCGCUAAGCACCAAGGUCCCAAAAACGCCCGAGGCACUAGGCGCUCACUCAAGCGAAGCAAGACGUUCUAAAAUAUUAAAAUAUAAAAAAUAUAUAAUAUAAUUAAUAAAUAUAAUUAUUUAAAUAAAAAUAUAAUAUUAAAUUAAAAACAAAUAUUAGCAGUGUUAAAAUCUAAAUAGUAUAUUAUUAAUCUAAUAAAUAAAUAUU
RNAcentral lists this long non-coding RNA (4082 nucleotides) under Musa acuminata (dwarf banana). Its description in RNAcentral is "long non-coding RNA (MACU_LNC000710)". The record is from RNAcentral. Lineage: Eukaryota; Viridiplantae; Streptophyta; Magnoliopsida; Zingiberales; Musaceae.